AUGUGGCUGCCAUACGACCCGGGUCCUUCUGGUUUGAGAGCCCUUGUCCUCCGCACUCCGUGCCCGCUGUGGCACCAUGGUGUUGAGGUGCGUGAUGGUGUAAGAAUUAACGGGGCAGCGGGGGACCGGGGACGAUUGGCAGUGGGGAGCGGCAUAGGGUGUGAGAGCAGGGAACAAGAAGGCCACCUGUGGUGUGUGUGUGUGUGUGUGUGUGUGUGUGUGUGUGUGUGUGUGAGAUAUGUGUAUGGUGUGUGUUGUGUGUGUUGUGUGUUGUGUGUUGUGUGUGUUGUGUGUGUGUUGUGUGUCGUGCGUGUUGUGUGUAUGCUGUGUGUGGCUGUAUGUGUGAUGCAUGUUGUGUGUGUGUUGUGUGUGUGUUGUGUGUCGUGUGUUGUGUGUGUUGUGUGUUGUGUGUGUUGUGUGUCGUGUGUUGUGUGUUGUGUGUCGUGUGUUGUGUGUGUUGUGUGUGUGGUUGUGUGUCAUGUGUGUGUUGUGUGUAUGUUGUGUGUCAUAUGUUGUGUGUUGUGUGUCGUGUGUUGUGUGUAUGCUGUGUGUGGCUGUAUGUGUGAUGCAUGUUGUGUGUGUUGUGUGUUGUGUGUUGUGUGUCGUGUGUUGUGUGUGGCUGUAUGUGUGAUGCAUGUUGUGUGUUGUGUGUCGUGCGUGUUGUGUGUAUGUUUUGUGUUGUGUGUGUGUUGUGUGUGGCUGUGUGUAUGUGUGAUGCAUGUUGUGUGUGUUGUGUGUGUGGUUGUGUGUACGUGUGUGUGUGUGUGGUGUGUGUGUUCCUGCGUGCUUGCUCAUCCACAGAGAUGGGGAGGCAGUCGGUCAGGAGGGAGACAGUUACUGAAAGGACUGGUGGGAAAUCAGCCCCAACAGCCCUCCCUUUCCCAGGAGCCCCACCCAGUCAACCACACUCCUGACUCCCCUUUGACAAGACAUUUGCGUGCUGACUCCGUGUUUAUUUGCACAGGGUUCUGCAGACCCAGAGCCUUCCUCCCGGCGACAGGCUUGGGGAGGCUGGUUCAACAAGGGCCCCGAUUCCCGGGAGUCUGGACUUGA
Molecule: long non-coding RNA, 1053 nt
Filed under: Felis catus (domestic cat)
Lineage: Eukaryota; Metazoa; Chordata; Mammalia; Carnivora; Felidae
Description: lncRNA (ENSFCAG00000048738.1)
Source: RNAcentral